This 423-nucleotide ribosomal RNA is filed under the name uncultured bacterium. RNAcentral's name for it is "partial 16S ribosomal RNA". It matches the Rfam family "Bacterial small subunit ribosomal RNA", at positions 360 to 776 of the family's 1533-position model. The record is from RNAcentral.
AAUUUUGGACAAUGGGGAAACCCUGAUCCAGCCAUCCCGCGUGUAUGAUGAAGGCCUUCGGGUUGUAAAGUACUUUUGGCUGAGAAGAAAAGGUAUCCCCUAAUACGGGAUACUGCUGACGGUAUCUGCAGAAUAAGCACCGGCUAACUACGUGCCAGCAGCCGCGGUAAUACGUAGGGUGCAAGCGUUAAUCGGAAUUACUGGGCGUAAAGCGGGGUGAGGGGGGUCGGAAAGAAAGAUGUGAAAUCCCAGGGCUCAACCCUUGAACCGCAUUUUUAAAUUCCGGGCUAGGGUAAGUUCAAGGGGGGUAGAAAUCCACGUGUAGCAGUGAAAUGCGUAGAUAUGUGGAGGAAUACCGAUGGCGAAGGCAGCCCCCUGGGAUAAUACUGACGCUCAGACACGAAAGCGUGGGGAGCAAACAGG